GCCCGGGUGAUGGAACUGGUAGACAUUGGGGACUUAAAAUCCCCUGGCUUUUAGCCGUGCGGGUUCGAGUCCCGCCCCGGGUACCA
This 86-nucleotide transfer RNA is filed under the name Desulfuromonas sp. Its description in RNAcentral is "tRNA-Leu". It matches the Rfam family "tRNA". Rfam says of the family: Transfer RNA (tRNA) molecules are approximately 80 nucleotides in length. The record is from RNAcentral. Lineage: Bacteria; Pseudomonadati; Thermodesulfobacteriota; Desulfuromonadia; Desulfuromonadales; Desulfuromonadaceae.